CGUAGGGCGCGAGCGUUGUCCGGAAUUAUUGGGCGUAAAGGGCUUGUAGGCGGUUGGUCGCGUCUGCCGUGAAAUCCUCUGGCUUAACUGGGGCGUGCGGUGGUACGGCUGACUUGAGUGCGGUAGGGAGACUGGAACUCCUGGUGUAGCGGUGGAAUGCGCAGAUAUCAGGAAGACACCGGUGGCGAAGGCGGUCUCUGGGCCGUUACUGACGCUGAGGAGCCGAAAGCGUGGGAGCGAACAGGAUU
Molecule: ribosomal RNA, 248 nt
Filed under: uncultured bacterium
Lineage: Bacteria
Description: partial 16S ribosomal RNA
Rfam family: Bacterial small subunit ribosomal RNA
Source: RNAcentral